Long non-coding RNA from Thalassophryne amazonica, 408 nucleotides. RefSeq lists it as uncharacterized. NCBI's taxonomy places the organism in Eukaryota, Metazoa, Chordata, Actinopteri, Batrachoidiformes, Batrachoididae. The record is from RefSeq and is a predicted model, not a curated record. The transcript is spliced from 3 exons.
CAGGCCUCCUCCUAGAUCACACCGAUGUCACUGAACAAGCACAGAGAGAGUUAAAGAAAAGAAAUAUGAUGGAAGAAUGUAGAUCUGGAAGCCUGCAGGUACCUGCAUCGUUUCAAUUACCUCAUGACUCAGAAAUCAGCAAUGUCAGUGCUGCACUGGAUGAAAGAUGCAAGGUUCGGUCAGAAGCCCAGAAACUCCCUGUACCUUUUAUACACACACAGAUCACAGCUUCAUCCAGAGGUGGGAGUGGGAGUCUUCUCUGCAGGCCUCCCAUUCUGUGGACCAGCAUGAACUUCUGAAAUUUCCUGUAUAUUCAGUUCCUUUAUUGGCAAUUGUGUCUGUAGCAUGGCCCAAGCAGAGGGUCACCCCUUUCAGUCUGGUCUGCUUGAGGUUUUUCCUCAAAUCAGA